Molecule: ribosomal RNA, 207 nt
Filed under: uncultured bacterium
Lineage: Bacteria
Description: partial 16S ribosomal RNA
Rfam family: Bacterial small subunit ribosomal RNA
Source: RNAcentral
CUCGUAGGCGGUUUGUCGCGUCUGCUGUGAAAUCCGGAGGCUCAACCUCCGGCCUGCAGUGGGUACGGGCAGACUAAAGUGCGGUAGGGGAGAUUGGAAUUCCUGGUGUAGCGGUGGAAUGCGCAGAUAUCAGGAGGAACACCAAUGGCGAAGGCAGAUCUCUGGGCCGUAACUGACGCUGAGGAGCGAAAGCAUGGGGAGCGAACA